This 382-nucleotide ribosomal RNA is filed under the name uncultured bacterium. Its description in RNAcentral is "bacterial SSU rRNA". It matches the Rfam family "Bacterial small subunit ribosomal RNA", at positions 518 to 898 of the family's 1533-position model. The record is from RNAcentral.
CGGUAAUACGUAGGGUGCGAGCGUUAAUCGGAAUUACUGGACGUGAAGCGUGCGCAGGCGGAUUGUUAAGCAAGAUGUGAAGUCCCCGGGCUUAACCUGGGAAUGGCAUUUCAGACUGGCAGUCUAGAGUGUGUCAGAAAGGGGUGGAAUUCCACGUGUAGCAGUGAAAUGCGUAGAUAUGUGGAGGAACACCAAUGGCGAAGGCAGCCCCCUGGGAUAACACUGACGCUCAUGUACGAAAGCGUGGGUAGCAAACAGGAUUAGAUACCCUGGUAGUCCACGCCCUAAACGAUGUCAACUGGUCGUUGGGGGAGUGAAAUCCCUUAGUAACGUAGCUAACGCGUGGAGUUGACCGCCUGGGGAGUACGGUCGCAAGAUUAAA